This is a long non-coding RNA of Sarcophilus harrisii (Tasmanian devil), 1581 nucleotides long. The record is from Ensembl. Lineage: Eukaryota; Metazoa; Chordata; Mammalia; Dasyuromorphia; Dasyuridae.
GGAGGGGGGAGGCUGGAGGCCAAAAGCAAAAGCAGCUUGAAAAGUCCUUUUUGUACCACAGAGUGCCUUUUGAUCUGGACUCGUGCUAGCCAUGGAUAUGCUGGGGAGGAAAGAGGACCUAGGGAAGGAAUGGGCAGGUUGUGUUGCCACAUGUCACCUCUGGCAGGCGUCCCGAGGCGCCGGGCCGAAGACUUCUGUCCGGGAGAGUUGGAAAGCAGGCUCCUCGUGCCCCUGUAGCCUCCUGUGUGCCUCUGCCCUGUGGCCACGGCCAGCCUCCUUGGGGAAGGGGAGGCAGGGACACUGGCCCCGGGUGCCCGUGCUCUUCUGCCUUCCCGGCUCUCACCAUGGCUUCCUUUUAGCCCAGAACGUCGGAGGGAAAUGGCCGGCGGAGGACAAAGUGCACGGGCUCAAACCAAGAAAUAAACUGAGUGACCCCUGACAAGUCACUUGAUCCUGUGCCUUGGUCCAAUUCACUGUGUCUCCUGUACUCAAAAUCUGAGCUUUAGUUUCAGAUUUUUAAUUUUGUCUUAAAAUAGCCUCGUUCUCCCAGAAGCUGCGUCAGGGCAGACCUUUCUGGAGGACCAGGGAAGUCUUAACCGAAUAGAACUGCCUUCCUUCCGAUGGUGCCUUGGGGGCCAGAGGCUCAGCAGGUGUUAUUCCACUGUCUGGGGGACCCCAGGAGCAGCUGCCACCCUCUCCCCUGCCCCCCAAUCCCUCCUGGGUGCGUGGAGGAAUGUAACCAAGUGAGAUCCCGGCUCCGGGGCCGCCUCUCCCUUUUGGGGAGAUUCUGGGCCAUGGCCGGCAGGGCCGAUCUGGCCAUGAUUUCGAUGGGACUGGUUCUGAUCUGAUCCGCUGGCCGCUUCUCUGCUUCAUUCUGCCAGAUUUUAACUCUUUGUUUUCUCUGAGGUGUCUCUCUGUCCUUGGACCCUGUCUGUGUGCGAGAUGGAGUUUCCAAAGUGAAUGAGUGUUGCAUUUUGGGAAGGUUGGGAAAGCAAGAUAGCGUUUGAUCAUGUGACUUCUAAACGGCCAGUUCAGGCCCCUUGAGUCUGGCCACCGAGGCCUCCUGUCUGGAUUGCCCGAUCGUCCCUCUCAGGGUUUUGUAUCCUCUUAAGUCCAAGAAUAAUUCCAAAUGUAUUGUCUUACUAGUCGUUUCUCUUUCUUCCAAAAUCCAACAUGGUGACUCACAGAUGGCACUUUGUAAAUGGGAGCUGUUACUGUAGCAGUUGCAUGAAAUGGGGCGCCUCUUUUACUGGCCUCCUCAAACCUCUGCUUUGAGGGGACUUCUGGUGGGCGGCUUUCCCAGGAGCCCCCGUUUGGGGAAGUUGCCCUUCUAUGGUUUGUUAGAGCCGGAGAGCAGCUUUCCCCCUCGAUGUCAUCCAGAAUCAGAUGGGUGGGUCCCGGGCCCUUGGCCGGCUCCUGGCUCUGAGGUAAAUGCCAGGUCUUUGGUCGCUUGGUAUUUGGCGCAGCCUUUAUUCAGUGGCUGAUGGGCUUGGGGCCUCCGGCUUUCCCCUGGUGCUGCCUUUCCUCGUGGAGCCAAGUCUUGUCUUGGCCGGCUUGGCUGGAGUCUGCCCGGUCUAGUCU